Molecule: ribosomal RNA, 603 nt
Filed under: uncultured bacterium
Lineage: Bacteria
Description: partial 16S ribosomal RNA
Rfam family: Bacterial small subunit ribosomal RNA (bases 1-542)
Source: RNAcentral
CCUACGGGAGGCAGCAGUAGGGAAUCUUCCGCAAUGGACGAAAGUCUGACGGAGCAACGCCGCGUGAACGAUGAAGGCCUUCGGGUCGUAAAGUUCUGUUGUUAGGGAAGAACAAGUGCUAGUUGAAUAAGCUGGCACCUUGACGGUACCUAACCAGAAAGCCACGGCUAACUACGUGCCAGCAGCCGCGGUAAUACGUAGGUGGCAAGCGUUGUCCGGAAUUAUUGGGCGUAAAGCGCGCGCAGGCGGUUUCUUAAGUCUGAUGUGAAAGCCCCCGGCUCAACCGGGGAGGGUCAUUGGAAACUGGGAAACUUGAGUGCAGAAGAGGAAAGUGGAAUUCCAAGUGUAGCGGUGAAAUGCGUAGAGAUUUGGAGGAACACCAGUGGCGAAGGCGACUUUCUGGUCUGUAACUGACGCUGAGGCGCGAAAGCGUGGGGAGCAAACAGGAUUAGAUACCCUGGUAGUCCACGCUGUAAACGAUGAGUGCUAAGUGUUAGAGGGUUUCCGCCCUUUAGUGCUGAAGUUAACGNAUAGCNCNCNCNGGNGAGUCGNANANNAUAAGAAGUAGAGNGNGNGAGNGCGACGACGACGACGAGGGAGAGG